RNAcentral lists this ribosomal RNA (253 nucleotides) under uncultured bacterium. RNAcentral's name for it is "partial 16S ribosomal RNA". It matches the Rfam family "Bacterial small subunit ribosomal RNA", at positions 524 to 776 of the family's 1533-position model. The record is from RNAcentral.
UACGGGGGGGGCAAGCGUUGUUCGGAAUUACUGGGCGUAAAGGGCUCGUAGGUGGCCAACUAAGUCGGACGUGAAAUCCCUCGGCUUAACCGGGGAACUGCGUCCGAUACUGGAUGGCUUGAGUUCGGGAGAGGGAUGCGGAAUUCCAGGUGUAGCGGUGAAAUGCGUAGAUAUCUGGAGGAACACCGGUGGCGAAGGCGGCAUCCUGGACCGACACUGACGCUGAGGAGCGAAAGCCAGGGGAGCAAACGGG